RNAcentral lists this ribosomal RNA (482 nucleotides) under uncultured bacterium. RNAcentral describes it as "partial 16S ribosomal RNA". It matches the Rfam family "Bacterial small subunit ribosomal RNA", at positions 30 to 507 of the family's 1533-position model. The record is from RNAcentral.
AUUGAACGCUGGCGGCAUGCCUUACACAUGCAAGUCGAACGGUAACAGGUCUUCGGAUGCUGACGAGUGGCGAACGGGUGAGUAAUACAUCGGAACGUGCCCAGACGUGGGGGAUAACGAGGCGAAAGCUUAGCUAAUACCGCAUACGAUCUAAGGAUGAAAGCAGGGGACCGCAAGGCCUGGUGCGUUUGGAGCGGCAGAUGGCAGAUUAGGUAGUUGGUGGGAUAAAAGCUUACCAAGCCGACGAUCUGUAGCUGGGCUGAGUGGACGACCAGCCACACUGGGACUGAGACACGGCCCAGACUCCUACGGUAGGCAGCAGUGGGGAAUUUUGGACAAUGGGCGAAAGCCUGAUCCAGCAAUGCCGCGUGCAGGAUGAAGGCCUUCGGGUUGUAAACUGCUUUUGUACGGAACGAAAAGGCUCUGGCUAAUACCUGGGGCACAUGACGGUACCGGAAGAAUAAGCACCGGCUAACUACGUG